RNAcentral lists this long non-coding RNA (1597 nucleotides) under Salvia miltiorrhiza (redroot sage). RNAcentral's name for it is "long non-coding RNA (SMIL_LNC004617)". The record is from RNAcentral. Lineage: Eukaryota; Viridiplantae; Streptophyta; Magnoliopsida; Lamiales; Lamiaceae.
AAUAUUGUUGGUCACAUUUCCUUUUUAGUUUGUCCCACUAUUCUUGGCUACUUUCUAAAAAUAGAAAUGUUUAUAGUAUUUAUUAAGUUUAAUUGAGUAAUUUAAUUCAAAUUUUUAAUUAAACUUAAAUCUUCUUUAAAUAAAAACACACACCAACACACACACUCACGCACACAUUGUUCUCUCUCUCUCGGCACUAUAUCGCCGCCGUUGACGGUGGUGCCGCCCGACAGGGCCGGCGUCUGCCGCCUCCAUUUCCCAUCUCUUUACGUCUCUCUCUCUCUCUCUCUCUCUACACCCCUCUCUCUCUCNUUAAAUAAAAACACACACACACACUUAAUCGCACACACUAACACACACUGUUCUCUCUAUCUCUCGGCACUCUGCCGCCGCCGUCGACGAUGGCGCCGCCCGACGGGCCGGCGUCUGCCGCCUCCAUUUCCCCCUCUCUCUCUCUCUCUCUCUCUAGACCCCUCUCUCUCUCUCGCUCCUCUUUCCCGUUCGCCAUCUCUGUUGCAAGAACAGGACGCACGCCGCCGCGUCCCUUUCGUCGGCCUCCUUCAUCCUCGCGGUAGAUCCGCCGCCGCCUCAAGACCACGACCGCCCCCAUGUCCUUCCCUCUCUUUCUCACUUUCAAUUGCACAGCAGCGGUGAUUUGGGGCCUAGGGCUUUCAGGUGGCUAUUUGGGGGUUUAAUGGAAGCGACAACGCCGCCGCACACUUGUUCCCUGAGAUUGUGCUGCUGCAAUUGCUGUGUUGCUGGGGACGGGAAGUGACCGACAGCUGCGGGCAGAUCCGGUGAACGGCGGCCGGAGCUGGAAGCGGUGGUCAAGGGCGGUGCGGCAUUGUGUUGUUCGUGUUAGUGUGUGCGAGGGUUUUCUGCAUUUUAGUUUUAUUAAUUUCUCUGAUUUUGAAUUGAUUUUUUGGUUUGAUGGAGAGAAUUAUUGAUUUGCAUGUUGACCGCCGGCGACGCCAUCUCCGGCGCCGGAGCUGCCGGCGCCGGCCUGAAUAUGGAACAGAUGCACGGAGAAGAUGAAUAUGGAGCACAAUUAAUUAACUCUUUAACUUUGGUUGAUUACACUUAAUUAAAACAUAAUCAUCAUUUUUCUCCGUGCCGAAAAGAAUGUGGCCAACAAUAUUGGGACGGAGGGAGUAUGUCAACUGUGCACAACAUUUAAUUUUACAACUGUAUAAAUAUAUUAAUAAAUUCAAUAAUUAAUUAAUUAAUUAAUUAAUUAGAUUAUUAUACAAAUGAUUAUUUAUUAAAAUGCAUUUUUAUUAAAAAGAAAAGANAAAACCUAAAACCACCCUUGAAAGUACAGAAGAGCAGACUAAGGGCCGAGCCUCAUUAAAAUUUUUUCACGGAAAAUCCAGUGGGAAAAACCAUGGAAAGAAAAAAGAGUACCCGUCUAGAGCAAAAAGAAAAGAAAGGGAAGAGCGGAAGGGAAAGUUUCCAGAACUCCGGUCUAACCAUCGUCCCCAAACAAUCCCGGCUCUUCCCUCCAGAAAAGUAACAAGACAAUGGCAGAAGGCCGGUGAGACGUCGUCGCCUAACUGCCAAAACACAAAAUCAAAGCUACACGGCCGGUUAUACGCCG